ACAAGUAUUGAAGGUGAUGCCUGCCCAGUGACUCACGUUCAACGGCCGCGGUAUCCUAACCGUGCAAAGGUAGCGCAAUCAAUUGUCCCAUAAAUCGAGACUAGUAUGAAUGGCUAAACGAGGUCUUAACUGUCUCUUACAGGCAAUCGGUGAAAUUGAUCUCCCUGUACAAAAGCAGGGAUAACCCCAUAAGACGAGAAGACCCUGUGGAACUUUAAAAUCAGCAACCACCCUAAAAUACUUAUACUCCUACUAGGUUUACUAACACAUUAGGAUUCUGGUCUGCAUUUUUCGGUUGGGGCGACCUUGGAGCAAAACAAAACCUCCAAAAACUAGACCAAACCUCUAGACUAAGAGCAACCCCUCAACGUGCUAAUAGCACCCAGACCCAAUAUAAUUGAUCAAUGGACCAAGCUACCCCAGGGAUAACAGCGCAAUCUCCUCCGAGAGUCCGUAUCGACGAGGAGGUUUACGACCUCGAUGUUGGAUC
This 490-nucleotide ribosomal RNA is filed under the name Cardellina pusilla (Wilson's warbler). RNAcentral describes it as "partial 16S ribosomal RNA". It matches the Rfam family "Bacterial large subunit ribosomal RNA", at positions 1839 to 2538 of the family's 2925-position model. The record is from RNAcentral. Lineage: Eukaryota; Metazoa; Chordata; Aves; Passeriformes; Parulidae.